GCACAAGCGGUGGAGCAUGUGGUUCAAUUCGACGCAACGCGAAGAACCUUACCCAGGCUUGAACAGCGAGUGACCAACUCCGAAAGGGGUCUUCCGCAAGGACACUCGUAGAGGUGCUGCAUGGCUGUCGUCAGCUCGUGUCGUGAGAUGUUGGGUUAAGUCCCGCAACGAGCGCAACCCUUGUUUGCUGUUGCCAUCACGUUAUGGUGGGCACUCUGCAAAGACUGCCGGUGAUAAACCGGAGGAGGGUGGGGAUGACGUCAAGUCAGCAUGGCCUUUAUGUCUGGGGCUACACACGUGCUACAAUGGCCGGUACAAACCGUCGCGAUACCGUAAGGUGGAGCUAAUCGGAGAAAGCCGGUCUCAGUUCGGAUUGUCGGCUGCAACUCGCCGGCAUGAAGUUGGAAUCGCUAGUAAUCGCGGAUCAGCACGCCGCGGUGAAUACGUUCCCGGGC
RNAcentral lists this ribosomal RNA (455 nucleotides) under uncultured bacterium. Its description in RNAcentral is "bacterial SSU rRNA". It matches the Rfam family "Bacterial small subunit ribosomal RNA", at positions 923 to 1379 of the family's 1533-position model. The record is from RNAcentral.